GCUCGAGGAGGUGUUCUACGAGGCCCCACGCCCCUUGUCCCCUCCCCUGCUUCUCCGCCGCCGCCUCUUUCUCCGCCAAAUCCACAUCACUGCCGUGCCCGUUGCUGGGACGGGACAGGGGUGGAGGCGAGGGAGAGAGGGGGGUUGACUCGGCAGCGCCGCCUAGCAGUGUAUGAGGUAUCUAGAGGAGGGCAGUGCGGCAGGGUAAACUCCUCUCCCACUGCAGAGCAGUCCACGGCGCGGUCACUGUCGUCCUCACCAUCUAGCCGUCUGUGAUGUCCGUCGCCAUCGCCAAGCCCCCUCGCCACGCGGUACACAUAGAUGGGGGAGGCGGUAGGAUGCAGCAGCUCGCAGAUUCCUUGGUCGCCGCCGAUGCCAAGCAAGAAGACAAGGUGGGAAGGCGAAGCUGGUUGGAGGAAGAAGCCAUGCAAACUUGGUGAGAGAGGAGAUGGGGUAGGGCGGGAAGCUGUGUGGGACGACUCGGCACUGGUGGACGCCUUCGAUCACACCGUCGCUACCUAAAAGGUAUGGGCCCUCGCCCCCUUUUAUUCUCUUGCCCUUUCCGCCUUGUUGGGAGAAGAUGUAUGUGUGUUCUGUUUUAGACAAUGGUGUUCAUGUAAGCGCGUUCACGUCAUGUUCCGUUCUGCAAUGCACAAGUACCAUGUUCUCUUUUAUUUCUGGAAUCGUGUGUAUUCGCACAAGUACUAUGCACACAGCAACACAUGGUCUAUACUGCUGCAAAUUGUUCCGCGUUAGCUUUGAAUCUGUUAGUGAAGUUGUUAUUGUAUGGUAACGGCGUACUUUUAUGGGAUGAUUAAUAGAAUGGAUCUGCAUGUGCUAUAGAUAGCUAAUCCUUUGCAACAAUUUAAUAAGAUGCUGAAAUCAAAGGCGUGGCCUCUAUUUGAUCAGCACGGUAUGCUAUAAAACCGAGAAGAAGAGAAGGAGGAGUAUGGGUGUGAUUUGCUUCUGUUUUUGUUAUAUAAUUGUAGGCUCUGCUGGUACCAUUUUCUUUUUCUGGUGUAAAUUUUUGCUCUUGCGAUUUGUCUCUUGUAAUUAUCUUGAAUCCUACAGUCAGUUGCAUUUUUGGUUCCUACAGUCAGUUGCAUUUUUGGUACCAGGUGAGAGUUUGGUCCUGCAAUUCGGUUCCUACAGUCAGUUGCAUUUUUCUUGUAUGAAAUUAAAGUGUCGUAGUUUAUCAAUAUCACCCGAAUUGGACCAUCUGACAUUUCAUAAGCUUUAUCAGUACUAUGUUCUCCUCAGCUGUACUGCUGCUCCAACUGAAGGUUUGCUCUCAGUUUCAGAUCUCCCUGAGUUAUUCUAGAAUCUAUUAUGCUCUUUUACAUUGAAUUCCUUGGGUUGAAACUGUGAGCUGUGCCUAUUUUUAAUUCUAAAAUAUAUCUGCUGUCUAGAGAAGGUAGAACGACAAGGUUAUUCAGAUGUUUUACAGUAUCUGAUAUGCCCCUUAAUUAGUACGGUGGGCUCACAAGCUUGGGUCCUGAGCCACAAGAACUCGAGAAAGGCAUCAUACAUUCCUUUUUUGCAAGGCACUGGCAACUUCAGAUACGAUUGCCCAUGGACAUGUCUCAGAAUCCCCCAUGUCAACAACUGGUAGCCAAAGAUCUUCAUAGAACUGAGUGGCAUUUUCGUCACAUUUUUUGUGGUGAUUUUACAAUUUGAGUAUUCAGCUUGAAUACCCUUUAAACUUUCCGUCGUUCUGUUCUUAUUGUUUUCGUAUAGCGGUAGAUGUCACAAUUGAAUCUUGAAUUCUUAUCACUGCAGAAAAUUGCAGCAUAUAGUGAUUCAUUACUUCUUGAGUAUGUUGAACUGUAUCCCUGUCUGGUUCUAUCUCAUGCCUUCCGGUGUUUUGUGUUUCGGAUGCUAUCUUUGUAUUUAAGUGUCAUUUAUUUAGUUCUUUCAAAAUUUGUUGUCGCAACUUCUUACAUCCAAUGUCCAUGUGUUAUAAGAUAGCAACAAAGCAAAUGGAAUGGGCGCUUAAGAUAGCAACAAAGCAAAUGGAAUGGGCGCUUGCCAACUUGGCGCCGCCCAACUUCCUCUCAAGAGGCGCCACCGGGUGGCGCCCCAACACCUAGUGGGAAUGACGCUGCUGUUCACCGUUACCUUGAUGGCCCUUUGGCAUCAAAAGUGUCAGACGAUCAGAAGGAAAAGAACAUUGCAGGAGUGGCUCCAAUCGUGGAGUACGAGGCAGGGUUGUUCCAAACGGUGUCGACCGAGACCGUGCACUUGCAGACGCGAAUGUCUGGGCCGAGGCUUGGAGACGCCACGAGAAGGCAAGCAAAGUGCGUGUGACCGAUGAAAUCCUCGGAUAGUGAGCUGAGCUCUGCUUGAUGUUUUGGCAUGCUGGCGAUUUUGAAGAGAGCGUUGUUAGGAGAGGAGGAAUAAUGCGCACCGAGGUGUGUAGUACUGCUCACACCACCAGAGUGAGCGCUCGCAAGGUUUCACCGGUGGAGCCUGUCACGUCCACCAUUGUUUCGCUGCAUACAUUACACGAUCUGAAUUUCGCAUAGAGGUAUGUAUUGUUUCAGGGGCUUUGUAAAUAAAUGUAAUAACCCCUGUAAUUGAUGGAUCGGUGUGUAGAACCCUUUUUUCAGUCCAGAG
Long non-coding RNA from Triticum aestivum (bread wheat), 2616 nucleotides. RefSeq lists it as uncharacterized. NCBI's taxonomy places the organism in Eukaryota, Viridiplantae, Streptophyta, Magnoliopsida, Poales, Poaceae. The transcript has 4 exons. The record is from RefSeq and is a predicted model, not a curated record.